Long non-coding RNA from Olea europaea var. sylvestris, 662 nucleotides. RefSeq lists it as uncharacterized. The transcript has 2 exons. The record is from RefSeq and is a predicted model, not a curated record. NCBI's taxonomy places the organism in Eukaryota, Viridiplantae, Streptophyta, Magnoliopsida, Lamiales, Oleaceae.
CCCGAUGCUAACACGUGCAAACCAAAAAGAAUACGUUGCCAAUUGCCUCACCAAAUGAUUAAUGAUAUCUUUGGGCAUAUUUUUCUUCAAUCACAAGAUUUUACCAAAGAAAAUUCCACCUUAUUUUUCUCUAUCCAUACUAUUGUGUUGAUUUUCGCAUGUUUUGAGUAAGCCACCAUGGUACUGUUCACAAGCCAUUUUUGGUCGAUUGAGAAGCCAAAUUUGUGGUCGGCUAAACUGUUGAUGUUUUUGGGUGGGGAGUCGUCUUUUGGUUUCUAGAAUUCAUUUCCUACCUUGUUUUCCUCUUCCCUCUUUGUAGAUCUGAGAAUCCAAUUGAAUUUGUUCGUUUACAAGUACGAUCCUUCAUAUUCAUUAUUAUUAACGCCUGUGGAGCAUUUCCGAGUUUAGUGAAGGCUAAUUAAAGCUCGAUACAGAUGCAAUCGUAAAAGCAUUUAUUUUUGUUACCCUUUUAAAGGAUUGGAUUCUUGCCCAGGGUUUUGUCUUAAAAUUAAUUUGUAUGAGGUUUUUUUCUUGUACGCUACUUCAGUUCAGGGAAGUGAUUGAUUAUUUAAAUGUCCUUUUUCUGAAUGUGAAGAUUUCUUUGUAAUUUUUGCUUAUGUUUUGAGAACAUAUUCGAAUAAAGCUAUUAUUUUUUCUUUGCA